This 292-nucleotide ribosomal RNA is filed under the name uncultured bacterium. RNAcentral's name for it is "partial 16S ribosomal RNA". It matches the Rfam family "Bacterial small subunit ribosomal RNA", at positions 505 to 796 of the family's 1533-position model. The record is from RNAcentral.
GUGCCAGCCGCCGCGGUAAGACAGAGGAGCCAAGCGUUGUCCGGAUUGACUGGGCGUAAAGCGCACGCAGGCGGCUCUGCGCGUGGGGUGUGAAAGCUCUUGGCUUAACUGAGAGAGGCCAUCCCAUACGGCAGAGCUCGAGCCAUGCAGAGGUCCGCGGAAUUGCCGGUGUAGUGGUGAAAUGCGUAGAGAUCGGCAGGAACACCCAGGGGGAAACCAGCGGACUGGGCAUGAGCUGACGCUCAGGUGCGACAGCGUGGGGAGCGAACCGGAUUAGAUACCCUCGUAGUCC